GCCAGACUCCUACGGGAGGCAGCAGUGGGGAAUAUUGCACAAUGGGGGAAACCCUGAUGCAGCGACGCCGCGUGAGCGAGGAAGUAUUUCGGUAUGUAAAGCUCUGUCAGCAGGGAAGAAGAAUGACGGUACCUGAAGAAGAAGCACCGGCUAAAUACGUGCCAGCAGCCGCGGUAAUACGUAUGGUGCAAGCGUUAUCCGGAUUUACUGGGUGUAAAGGGAGCGCAGGCGGUUCUGCAAGUCUGAUGUGAAAGCCCGGGGCUCAACCCCGGGACUGCAUUGGAAACUGCAGGACUGGAGUGUCGGAGGGGUAAGCGGAAUUCCUGGUGUAGCGGUGAAAUGCGUAGAUAUCAGGAGGAACACCUGUGGCGAAGGCGGCUUACUGGACGAUGACUGACGCUGAGGCUCGAAAGCGUGGGGAGCAAACAGGAUUAGAUACCCCAGUAGUG
RNAcentral lists this ribosomal RNA (449 nucleotides) under uncultured bacterium. RNAcentral describes it as "partial 16S ribosomal RNA". It matches the Rfam family "Bacterial small subunit ribosomal RNA", at positions 330 to 795 of the family's 1533-position model. The record is from RNAcentral.